UUUCCGUAGGUGAACCUGCGGAAGGAUCAUUAACACAAUACAUUUACCCAAAUGUAUUUUAACCCCCCUUUGCAAACUUGUUUCAUAACGUUUCUCCCGGAUGCGAGUCAAGCCUUUCACUAGGUUUGUUUUUUGCAUCUGUGGUUUUAAACCUUUUAAACCCCUUGAACUGUCUUUGACUGAAACUCUGAGUAACAACACACCCUUUUUCCAACAAAAAAGAAGUGUGCGGCUACUCUGCCAUAUAUCAAACGCUGAACAACUCUUAGCAACGGAUAUCUUGGCUCUC
RNAcentral lists this unclassified non-coding RNA (289 nucleotides) under soil metagenome. RNAcentral describes it as "partial contains small subunit ribosomal RNA, internal transcribed spacer 1, and 5.8S ribosomal RNA". The record is from RNAcentral.